This 4483-nucleotide long non-coding RNA is filed under the name Salmo salar (Atlantic salmon). RNAcentral's name for it is "lncRNA (ENSSSAG00000115113.1)". Lineage: Eukaryota; Metazoa; Chordata; Actinopteri; Salmoniformes; Salmonidae. The record is from RNAcentral.
GGGAGAGAUUGAAUAUGUUUGUAAACACUCCGGCCAGCUGGUUUGCGCAUGCUCUGAGGACGUGGCUAAGGAUGCCGUCUGGGAUGGCAGCUUUGCGAGGGUUAACACGCUUAAAUGUCUAACUCACGUCGGCCAUGGAUAACGAGAGCUCACAGUCCUUGGGAGUGGCCAGUGACUUUUGCACUGUGUUAUCCUCAAAGCGGGCAAAGAAGGUGUUACGUCUUGCUCCCAGACAAGCUUCAGUGUACGCGACGUGGCUGGUUUUCCCUUUGUAAUCCAUGAAUGUCUGGAGUCACUACCUUCUGAGUGGUCAGGCUGGGGACAGUGACACUGGAGAUGCGCGUUCAUGAGAAUUCUCUUUUUUUUUCAGCCUUUGAAUGAAUACAACGUCACCCGGUUGGAAUAUUAUCGCUAUUUUAUGAGAAAAAUAGCAUAAAAAUAGAUUUUAAACACCGUUUGACAUGCUUCGAAGUACAGUAAUAGAAUAUUUCGACAUUUUUUGUCACGAAAUGCGCUUGCGCGUCACCCUUCGGAUAGUGACCUGAACGCACGAACAAAACGGAGCUAUUUGAAUAUAAACUAUGGAUUAUUUGGAACCAAAACAACAUUUGUUGUUGAAGUAGAAGUCCUGGGAGUGCAUUCUGACGAAGAACAGCAAAGGAGAAAGUAGUUCGUAGGGAUGUGUGUGUCUUUCAAAACAACUGUCCAGGGGACCUCCGAGGAUGUCCGGACCUCCGGCCCCCCAAACAGUUGUGACCAUCCGGGGCGUCCAGAUCUCUGUCUCUCACCACAGCAGCCAUCAGCCCAGAAAAGCAUGAAGACAGAACAUCUUAAAGAUAAUCUAGGAAUCCAUUCUUCCUCAUGGAACAUUUUGAAGGAUGCAGGCUGUACACGUGAAAUACAGGGAUUGUCAGAAGUACAUUUGUUAUGAGGGGCAACUGACCUUCAAAUCCUUUUUGGAUUAUGUUGCCAAUAAAUUUGACAUUCCAACCUUGGACUUAAAAGUCUAUGAUGAAUCGAAGACUGAAGUUGAUGAGGUGUUUGAGAAACAAGACCUUGGUGUGCUGGGAGAUUUGUUUACCCCAAGACACAAAUCCUGAUGAUUCGUUGAGCUCCUCUGCAAUCAGCUCCUUAUCAAAAUACAGUAGAGACAAUGAGGGGGACUCCAAUGACACCAUUAUAUUGCAGCCGAGUCCUGCUACAAGAAAGACAGCUGAGGAUAAUUGUCUAUCUCAUAUGAUUGAAGACAUUCUGAAGAACAAACCUGGAGGAGAGAGGAUCAUGAAUGAGUAUGCUCGGACAAAAAUCCUAACAGAUAGCAGAAGACGUGAUAUGGUCAAGAUAUUGGUUGCACAAAUGACAAGUGAACAUGGGACAAGUCCUUCAAGGCAUGUUAAAGAGGACUACGCAAAGGGCAUCAUUGCCUUGUUCCCAUACCUGGCCGAUCCUAGGAGCAAGUUUGGUUAUGAGCAUUAUUACAAUGCAGAAGAUGGGAGUGGAUAUCUAGCAUGGAGACUGAAAUCAGAGGGACGACAGAAGACCAUUUGAUUGUAGUUAGUCUCAUUCAUGACACAUGACCAGAGAAUAAUUGUGGUCCAAAAGCUGAUAGAGACCCCUUCAGAGAGGAAAACUGUCCAACAACAGAAAGCCUGUGUUGUGAGGCCAUUGCACUGAAGAAUACAGCUGGUGAAGCAAUUGUAAAGGAGAAGAUGAAGCAGACGUUCGCCUAUCGCCAAAAGAUGGUUCAUGACCCGGUGAAGUCCUCUGAAAUAUUCACAGCUGUUCCAAGACAUAGCAGGAAUGAUUGAGCAAGAUUUUAGUCUGAUGUUUGGUGAUGCAACCUCUGCAAAGUUCCUGGAGAAGUGGCCUACUCUCUACAAGCAGAAAGUCAUUGACCAAAGCCGGGGCUUUACAUAGACAGAUGACCUGCAAGACCUGGUUCAAAAUGCUGAAUCCACAACAGAAGUGGAAAAUGGAUGGGACAGUGACAUGUCCCCCACUUUGGUCUUUGUCCACCUUCUGCCACCGUCACCUCAUGGCCGCAAGACACCAGGAAAAAUCUCAGCCAGACAUGCCAGUGACCACAUUGUGAAGUUUAUCAAGACUGGGACCAGCAUCCAGGGGCAUCUGGAAAGCGUCAUGGAAAGCCUUCAACCCUAUCAGCUUGCUGUGGGGACCCAGAGGAGUGGGAUUCACAAGUACUUCAUUGUGAUUGACAAACAUGCAAUACCUUGUAAGUCACCAGACCCUCUUGCCUGUUUUGAUGAGCUAAUUUUGUCUUUGUUACCUCAUACAACCAGGAUCUGGUUAAUGUGUACAACUUCUUGCAAACCACAAUUUAUGAAAUUGAUGUUGAUACCACUAAGGUUAAUCCUAUGGUUGCAGAGUUGAGGGCUCGGAUGCUGCAUUGAGUUACUAAAAGUUUUGAAGUUGCAAAGGGUUAAAACGCAGCAUAGGAAAUAACCUUUUUCAUUUCACACAAACCUUUUCAUAUCAUUCAUCUAAAAUGUUGUAUUUUGCUUGCAAAAGCCCCCAGGCAAAUGCUAAUUCCUUGACAAAACACUUUGUCCACAGACUUUGUCCAGGAAAGACAUUUCGUCUUAAAUGCGGUUAGGCUGGUUGUUCACAAGUUUAUGGCACUUUUUCUGGGUUCAGAAAGCAUCUUAUAAAGCACAUGAACCUUGUUCUGAUCAUGAAGGCCCCUCUACAGCUGAAUAUAGCAGUCAUUUUGAUGACUUGCCAUCAACAAGUUCCCCUUCUGACUCAGUCCUUGUCAAUAAGAGUCUUGCGCUGCAACCAUAGCUGAAUUUAAAGUGCCAGGUGUAGGUGAAACAACCAGUAACUCUUUGGUAAUUUCCAUGCAAGAGAUAAUUGAUGAUAUUCAUAGUCAAGCUAAAGAAUCUGUGAAGAAGUGUGUCUAUACAGGAGCCUAUUAAAAGUGACAUUGAGUGUAAAAUUGAUCAGUGUUUUCAAAAAAUUGAAAAUCCUUUUGGUGUAUUAAAUUCUGAAAGUAAGAGAAGGCAGUAUUUUAUAGAAAAGUGGGGAAGGGUAGACCCAGUGAAUACGUUCUUGGUACAAGAUCUGAUACUCAACGCAAUCGGACUACUGGAGGCUAUGAUCCAUUUUGUUGUUUCUAAUACAUUUGUUUACAUGCCAAUUUUGAAAACAUUACAGUUUAUUUUCAAACACCCUAAUAAAAAGGAGAUGAUGCAGACCUGAUUCCAGUUCAAGAAAACUUUGACUUAUGUGAUGGAGAUCUGUUCAAGAGCCAUGCUCUAUUUUCAAAACAGAAGCAUGCAAUUCAGAUACAGCUUUUCUAUGAUUUUGAAACUGCAAAUCCUCUUGGAUCAAAACAGGGAAUACAUAAGUUUCACCUUACGGAAUUUUCCUCCAAAGUUCAAGUCAUUUCUGCUUAAUAUUCAUUUGGUUGCUUUAUUUCAUGCCCAAUACGUUUAAACAUAUGGCUUUUCUAAAAUACUUGAUCCAAUUGUGCAGGAUAUUAAAGUACUUGAGAGGGAUGGAAUUAUGGUCCCCUUGUAUGAUCAACCAGUGUAUGGAACUAUUGUCCAAGUUACAGGUGACAACCUUGGUCUUCACUGUUUAUUUGUUUUUGUUGAAUCAUUCAGUGCCAGAUAUUGUUGCCUCUUUUGCCUUGCUGAGAAAGAGGACUUUCAGACUGAAUUUGAUGAAGAUUCACCCUAGAUAGUUAUGCCAACUCGAGCACUUCAUGCAAUGGCAGACAUUUAACACCAACAGAGUAAUGAUCGGUCCGGGUAAAAUGCUAUCUUUAAAUAUGGUGGACUGGGGCUGUAAGAUGGCUGAGAUUCUUCAGGUACCAAUUGACACCAUGGUUUUAAAUGUUAAAUGGGCCAAACACCAUGGAAAUAUGUAUCGUUUAGUUUGUCUUAAAGUCAUUGUGAGAUGCCAGUUUUUCAGAAAAUCCACCAUGUUGUUACUGUUUACUUUUGCCCUACAAACAAUAUAUAUUGAUGAGCAUUUUAAUGCAUAUAGAGUUGGGUGUACAACAGAGGGAUCUUAUGUAGUUGAUGUUAAAGAGCUUUUCUGUCUCAAAGCAUUUGAUAUACAGAUGUCUUACAGUUAUGAUUCAAGUUUGUUUAUUGUCCCAUACUGUUUCCUGUGACUCUAAAAACUGCACAGUAAGCUCUUUAAAACCAAGAUGUAUUGUAUUGCAAUAUUGGCUUUUUUAUUUACUUCUAAUAAAGGUGGGACAGAUAUCAAAAUGUAAUUUUACAGAGGCCACAAUUUUAUCAUCAGUGUUUUUGAUAUGAGAUGCCAGUUUCAUAAAAUCCUCCAUGUCAUUGUUAAAUGAUUGAAUUGCAAUAUUGAGCCUUUUUAUCUACAUGUAUUAAAGUGAACAGAGGCCAACAUUUCAUUUUAGUCCACAUUUGUAUUUUAUCAGUAUGUUGAUGUAUGUAUUGCAAAUGUCUUACAUUUAAGAAUAAAGUGAUUUGUUAAAUACUGA